This 535-nucleotide ribosomal RNA is filed under the name Enterobacter sp. RNAcentral's name for it is "bacterial SSU rRNA". It matches the Rfam family "Bacterial small subunit ribosomal RNA", at positions 879 to 1414 of the family's 1533-position model. Lineage: Bacteria; Pseudomonadati; Pseudomonadota; Gammaproteobacteria; Enterobacterales; Enterobacteriaceae. The record is from RNAcentral.
AGUACGGCCGCAAGGUUAAAACUCAAGUGAAUUGACGGGGGCCCGCACCAGCGGUGGAGCAUGUGGUCUAAUUCGAUGCAACGCGAAGAACCUUACCUACUCUUGACAUCCAGAGAACUUCCCAGAGAUGUAUGGGUGCCUUCGGGAACUCUGAGACAGGUGCUGCAUGGCUGUCGUCAGCUCGUGUUGUGAAAUGUUGGGUUAAGUCCCGCAACGAGCGCAACCCUUAUCCUUUGUUGCCAGCGGUUAGGCCGGGAACUCAAAGGAGACUGCCAGUGAUAAACUGGAGGAAGGUGGGGAUGACGUCAAGUCAUCAUGGCCCUUACGAGUAGGGCUACACACGUGCUACAAUGGCGCAUACAAAGAGAAGCGACCUCGCGAGAGCAAGCGGACCUCAUAAAGUGCGUCGUAGUCCGGAUUGGAGUCUGCAACUCGACUCCAUGAAGUCGGAAUCGCUAGUAAUCGUGGAUCAGAAUGCCACGGUGAAUACGUUCCCGGGCCUCGUACACACCGCCCGUCACACCAUGGGAGUGGG